This is a transfer RNA of Camelus ferus (Wild Bactrian camel), 72 nucleotides long. It matches the Rfam family "tRNA". From Rfam's summary of the family: Transfer RNA (tRNA) molecules are approximately 80 nucleotides in length. Their secondary structure includes four short double-helical elements and three loops (D, anti-codon, and T loops). The record is from Rfam. NCBI's taxonomy places the organism in Eukaryota, Metazoa, Chordata, Mammalia, Artiodactyla, Camelidae.
GAGGGUAUAGCUCAGUGGUAGAACACGUGCUUAGUGUGCAUGAGGUCCUGGGGUCAAUCCCCAGUCCCUCCA